Molecule: ribosomal RNA, 253 nt
Filed under: uncultured bacterium
Lineage: Bacteria
Description: partial 16S ribosomal RNA
Rfam family: Bacterial small subunit ribosomal RNA
Source: RNAcentral
UACGGAGGAUGCAAGCGUUAUCCGGAUUUAUUAGGUUUAAAGGGUGCGUAGGCGGAAUAAUAAGUCAGUGGUGAAAUCCUGCAGCUUAACUGUAGAACUGCCAUUGAAACUGUCAUUCUUGAGUAUAGUUGAGGUGGGCGGAAUGUGUCAUGUAGCGGUGAAAUGCAUAGAUAUGACACAGAACACCGAUUGCGUAGGCAGCUCACUAAACUAUAACUGACGCUGAGGCACGAAAGCGUGGGGAUCAAACAGG